GGGCUUAUGGUCUAGCGGUAUGACGUCGCCUCGACAAUGCAUUCGAAGUGGCGGAAGUCCCCGGUUCAAAUCCGGGUAGGCCCA
Molecule: transfer RNA, 84 nt
Filed under: Candidatus Peregrinibacteria bacterium
Lineage: Bacteria; Candidatus Peregrinibacteriota
Description: tRNA-Ser
Rfam family: tRNA
About the family: Transfer RNA (tRNA) molecules are approximately 80 nucleotides in length. Their secondary structure includes four short double-helical elements and three loops (D, anti-codon, and T loops).
Source: RNAcentral